RNAcentral lists this ribosomal RNA (659 nucleotides) under uncultured Stenotrophomonas sp. Its description in RNAcentral is "bacterial SSU rRNA". It matches the Rfam family "Bacterial small subunit ribosomal RNA", at positions 28 to 674 of the family's 1533-position model. The record is from RNAcentral. Lineage: Bacteria; Pseudomonadati; Pseudomonadota; Gammaproteobacteria; Lysobacterales; Lysobacteraceae.
AGUGAACGCUGGCGGUAGGCCUAACGCAUGCAAGUCGAACGGCAGCACAGUAAGAGCUUGCUCUUAUGGGUGGCGAGUGGCGGACGGGUGAGGAAUACAUCGAAAUCUACCUUUUCGUGGGGGAUAACGUAGGGAAACUUACGCUAAUACCGCAUACGACCUUCGGGUGAAAGCAGGGGACCUUCGGGCCUUGCGCGGAUAGAUGAGCCGAUGUCGGAUUAGCUAGUUGGCGGGGUAAAGGCCCACCAAGGCGACGAUCCGUAGCUGGUCUGAGAGGAUGAUCAGCCACACUGGAACUGAGACACGGUCCAGACUCCUACGGGAGGCAGCAGUGGGGAAUAUUGGACAAUGGGCGCAAGCCUGAUCCAGCCAUACCGCGUGGGUGAAGAAGGCCUUCGGGUUGUAAAGCCCUUUUGUUGGGAAAGAAAAGCAGUCGAUUAAUACUCGGUUGUUCUGACGGUACCCAAAGAAUAAGCACCGGCUAACUUCGUGCCAGCAGCCGCGGUAAUACGAAGGGUGCAAGCGUUACUCGGAAUUACUGGGCGUAAAGCGUGCGUAGGUGGUUGUUUAAGUCUGUUGUGAAAGCCCUGGGCUCAACCUGGGAACUGCAGUGGAAACUGGACGACUAGAGUGUGGUAGAGGGUAGCGGAAUUCCUGGU